GCUCUUGUUGGCACCAUAAAUUGGUUUUGCUUCACACUGUGUUGAUCAAGAGUGUGUGAAGCUUUUGAGAAUUGUGGUUGCCUUCCAUUGAUGAAGCUCUUGUUGGCACCAUAAAUUGGUUUUGCUUUAUACUGUCUUGAUCAAGAGUGUGUGAAGCUUUCUACGAUUUGUAGUGUUUGCAUUGAUACAGAGGGGAAAUGUCUGAAGUAGAUGCAAGAGGGCUGAAUAGCUUGAUCUUUGUAUGCCAUGCACUCAAGUUGUUGUUGGCUUGCAAUAAGACUUUGUUGGUGACUAUAACUCUUGUUGGGCAUAAAUGCUCCCGUAGUUGAGUUGUCAAGCUUGAGAGUUUUUGAUUAUUUGUGAAUGUUAGGAGUUCACAUGUACAAGUUGUACCACUCGUCUUCUGGUAGGUGGAAUGAAUGGUGAGUUGCUUUCAUCACUUGGUUGGUGGUACAAAGAUGAGUUCCUUCUUCACCUGGUUGGUGGCAUGAAUGGCAAGUUGCGAAAUGAUAUUAGAGUACGGGUUGUACAUUUCAUCAC
This 540-nucleotide long non-coding RNA is filed under the name Malus domestica (apple). RNAcentral describes it as "long non-coding RNA (MDOM_LNC008250)". Lineage: Eukaryota; Viridiplantae; Streptophyta; Magnoliopsida; Rosales; Rosaceae. The record is from RNAcentral.